GAUUAACGCUGGCGGCUUGCCUAAUACAUGCAAGUCGAGCGAACGUACGAGAAGCUUUCUUUUCUUAUGUUAGCGGCGGACGGGCGAGUAACACGUUGCUAACCUAUCUAUAAGACUUGGAUAACUUCGGGAAACCGGAGCUAAUACCGGAUAAUAUUUUUAACCUCAUUGUUCAAAAGUUCAAGACCUUCUUGCUGUCACUUAUAUAUUGAUCCGCGCUGCAUUAGCUAGUUGGUAAGGUAACGGCUUACCAAGGCAACGAUGCAUAGCCGACCUGAGAGGGUGAUCGGCCACACUGGAACUGAGACACGGUCCAGACUCCUACGGGAGGCAGCAGUAGGGAAUCUUCCGCAAUGGGCGAAAGCCUGACGGAGCAACGCCGCGUGAGUGAUGAAGGUCUUCGGAUCGUAAAACUCUGUUAUUAGGGAAGAACAUAUGUGUAAGUAACUGUGCACAUCUUGACGGUACCUAAUCAGAAAGCCACGGCUAACUACGUG
Molecule: ribosomal RNA, 497 nt
Filed under: uncultured bacterium
Lineage: Bacteria
Description: partial 16S ribosomal RNA
Rfam family: Bacterial small subunit ribosomal RNA
Source: RNAcentral